UUCUUCAUGCUAUUCCAGUUGAGCCUCCUGC
This 31-nucleotide non-coding RNA is filed under the name Rattus norvegicus (Norway rat). The record is from RNAcentral. Lineage: Eukaryota; Metazoa; Chordata; Mammalia; Rodentia; Muridae.